RNAcentral lists this long non-coding RNA (1574 nucleotides) under Salmo salar (Atlantic salmon). RNAcentral describes it as "lncRNA (ENSSSAG00000105182.1)". The record is from RNAcentral. Lineage: Eukaryota; Metazoa; Chordata; Actinopteri; Salmoniformes; Salmonidae.
CUCGGGUGGUUUAGGAUGCUGGAACAUCCGAUAGAGCAGGUAUUCCCAACCUGGGAGUACGACAAAUAAAAAUGUGAUUCACAUUUUAAAAAUGUUUUUAUUUAUUUUUUAUUAAUGCUUCUCAUUUUCAAACAGUCCAUUUAUAUAUUCCAACGGGACGAUACAUUUGGGAGGACGGUCUUGAACUCUCCGAUGGCCUUGUAAGUCCUGUUGGUGUCCAGCUGCCAAAAGAGGGAAUGAAUGGUCAACAACAUAUCAUAAACACACUCUACUAUUGGAUACUACAGCCAUAGGAGAUGGAACUGAUUGGUUACUACAGCCAUAGGAGAUGGAACUGAUUGGAUACUACAGCCAUAGGAGAUGGAACUGAUUGGUUACUACAGCCAUAGGAGAUGGAACUGAUUGGAUACUACAGCCAUAGGAGAUGGAACUGAUUGGAUACUACAGCCAUGGGGGAUGGAACUGAUUGGUUACUACAGCCAUGGGGGAUGGAACUGAUUGGAUACUACAGCCAUAGGGGAUGGAACUGAUUGGUUACUACAGCCAUGGGGGAUGGAACUGAUUGGAUACUACAGCCAUAGGGGAUGGAACUGAUUGGUUACUACAGCCAUAGGGGAUGGAACUGAUUGGAUACUACAGCCAUAGGAGAUGGAACUGAUUGGAUACUACAGCCAUAGGGGAUGGAACUGAUUGGAUACUACAGCCAUAGGAGAUGGAACUGAUUGGAUACUACAGCCAUAGGGGAUGGAACUGAUUGGAUACUACAGCCAUAGGAGAUGGAACUGAUUGGAUACUACAGCCAUAGGGGAUGGAACUGAUUGGAUACUACAGCCAUGGGGGAUGGAACUGAUUGGAUACUACAGCCAUAGGGGAUGGGACUGAUUGGAUACUACAGCCAUAGGAGAUGGAACUGAUUGGAUACUACAGCCAUAGGGGAUGGAACUGAUUGGUUACUACAGCCAUAGGAGAUGGAACUGAUUGGUUACUACAGCCAUAGGGGAUGGAACUGAUUGGAUACUACAGCCAUAGGGGAUGGAACUGAUUGGAUACUACAGCCAUAGGGGAUGGAACUGAUUGGAUACUACAGCCAUAGGAGAUGGAACUGAUUGGAUACUACAGCCAUAGGGGAUGGAACUGAUUGGAUACUACAGCCAUAGGGGAUGGAACUGAUUGGAUACUACAGCCAUAGGGGAUGGAACUGAUUGGAUACUACAGCCAUAGGAGAUGGAACUGAUUGGAUACUACAGCCAUAGGGGAUGGAACUGAUUGGAUACUACAGCCAUAGGAGAUGGAACUGAUUGGAUACUACAGCCAUAGGGGAUGGAACUGAUUGGAUACUACAGCCAUAGGGGAUGGAACUGAUUGGAUACUACAGCCAUGGGGGAUGGAACUGAUUGGAUACUACAGCCAUAGGGGAUGGAACUGAUUGGAUACUACAGCCAUAGGGGAUGGAACUGAUUGGAUACUACAGCCAUGGGGGAUGGAACUGAUUGGAUACUACAGCCAUAGGGGAUGGAACUGAUUGGAUACUACAGCCAUAGGGGAUGGAACUGAUUGGAUACUACAGCCAUAGG